Molecule: long non-coding RNA, 529 nt
Organism: Thunnus maccoyii (southern bluefin tuna)
Lineage: Eukaryota; Metazoa; Chordata; Actinopteri; Scombriformes; Scombridae
Exons: 2
Source: RefSeq, a predicted model, not a curated record
UUUGUCUUUCAGUAUGAGCUUAAAUGCUUAUGGAAAAAUAACACUCUUGAUUUAUCCUAACCACUUUUUCCCUAUUUUCUAAUUUUGUGUGUGUGUGAGAGAGAGAGAGAGAGAGACUUUUUGGAGAGAUGCACUAUUCAAUGUUCUAGAGUUAGUUUAAUUCAACGUUUCUCAUUCCUGGUCCUGGGAACCCUCUGCCCUGCAUGUUUUAUAUGUUUCCCUGCUCCAACAAACCUGAUUCAAAUGAUCAGCUCACCAUCAACCUCUGCAGAAGCCUGACAACAACCCAUUCUCACCUGAGCUCACUCACUCCUAAUCAUGUUCUGCUCUAUAUAUCCCGCCCAUUUCUUUUCUUCUUGCUGGCGGCAACACUAACCACAUGUGAAUGCCCUCUGUACCUGUGUUUCAGAGACACACCUACAGUUGUAAGUUACUAAAAAAACCUUACAGAAAACCAUACAGAAAACAACAAGCCUCAUCUCCUGUUGCUCUACAUGUGUAUGGUGGCAAUAAAUGGCUUAAAUGGAAA